Molecule: ribosomal RNA, 253 nt
Filed under: uncultured bacterium
Lineage: Bacteria
Description: partial 16S ribosomal RNA
Rfam family: Bacterial small subunit ribosomal RNA
Source: RNAcentral
UACGAAGGACCCGAGCGUUAUCCGGAUUUAUUGGGUUUAAAGGGUGCGUAGGCGGAUUUACAAGUCAGUGGUGAAAUCUCCCAGCUUAACUGGGAAACUGCCAUUGAAACUGUUUAUCUUGAGUACAUUUAAGGCGGGCGGAAUGUGUCAUGUAGAGGUGAAAUUCUUAGAUAUGACACAGAACACCAAUUGCGAAGGCAGCUCGCUAAACUGUAACUGACGCUGAGGCACGAAAGCGUGGAGAUCAAACAGG